Long non-coding RNA from Meriones unguiculatus (Mongolian gerbil), 564 nucleotides. RefSeq lists it as uncharacterized. The record is from RefSeq and is a predicted model, not a curated record. The transcript is spliced from 3 exons. NCBI's taxonomy places the organism in Eukaryota, Metazoa, Chordata, Mammalia, Rodentia, Muridae.
GACGCCGUGACCGACACCCGAACCAGCCAAUCGGCAAUCCAGCUGGCUCCGGGGGCCACGCCCACUCGGCCGUAGGAGGCGAGGUGAAGGUCUGUGCGCCCCCUGCAGACGGAGGAAUGCGGCGUGGGCAGCAGGAAGCUCAGCCGCUGCAGCCAAGGAAGCCGGGGAGUCAUGCUACAACCUGACAGGAGACUCUGAGGAGAGAACUGGCCCAGGGAAAGCCCUGCCUCAUAACCCUCCAGGAAUUCUGGAGCUUGUGAGACAGCUCAGCAGGUAAAGGCAUCGAUGCUCAGACUGGCCACCUGAGUUCAAUCCCCAGGACCCACAGGAUAGGAGAGCACCGAUUCCCAAAGCUAGUCCUGUGACCUCCGAGAGACUGCAUGCACACUCACUCACGAAGGAAGGACAGAAGAAAGAAAGGAAGAAGGAAAAAAGAAGAGAAAUUUUGUGUGAUUUCCAGCCCUUCCCCAUUCCCCCAGCCCUAGACAACCCCUAAAUUACUUCCUGUUUCUAUGGGGGUCACCCAUUCUGGAUAUUAACAUAUAAAUAAAACCUUAUACUAUG